GAGAUAAUUUUUUAUAACAAAACCAUUAGCGCUCUACGCGAGCCGUUCACAACAUAAUAUCAUAGUUCGUAUCACUUAGUGUACGUUCACUGCGCGUAUCACUGGAGUAACAGUUACACUAGCACCGUGCUCGGGCGCUGUCCUCACUUCCGCAUACUGCAGCGCGCGCUGGCGCCGGUCGCGGUGCGCUGUGCACUGUGCGCAGUUUCUCAAAUACGGCCGCGUCGCUCCUAACCGCCGGGAGCCUCGCUCGCGAAUGCGACCGCCGAAAACUCCUCACAACGUCCGAAUGCAGAAAAUUCGGACGCGCCGAGUGGGGGGACGCUCUACGACUAUCCGAAACUUGCGCGCGUACGUGCAGCGCUUCGCUAUGAAAAAAUCCAAGGUUAACGCGCGCUGCCAAAAAAAGACGCACGCAAAAUGAAAAAAAGAUGGCUAGAGCGGCGCCCCUCGCGGGCGUCGCAGUGCAGCCGAUUCUGCACACGCCGUGUCUACCGCACUCAUAGUUUUCCCGUGAUCGGCAUCGCUCCAAGGCUCUGGGUAUUAGUGCCGCCCUCCUCAAAUUCCGCGCCUUCAUGAACACGACUACUACCUACCAUAAACACCUCUUACUACUCGUAAUUACGACUCGAAGCGAAAUUAUUCUAGUCUAAUUGUUAUAGGUUGCGGGGUCAGAUGGCAAUGGUUCUACGUAAAUCAAUAACCGGAUAGAUCCAGACUAGAAUAUUAAGCAGGCCCUGGUAAAAAUCCGGUUAAAAAACAGGUCGAUGAAGUUGUGAAAAUUAUUUAUACAUAGGUAUAUUGCUGAAUUGAGUUGAAGUUCAAUUAUAUAAUAUUGAAAAAAAAAUUUUUUUUAACUGUUUUAAUAAAAAAAUGUGUAAUUAUUUUAAAA
Molecule: long non-coding RNA, 892 nt
Organism: Melitaea cinxia (Glanville fritillary)
Lineage: Eukaryota; Metazoa; Arthropoda; Insecta; Lepidoptera; Nymphalidae
Exons: 2
Source: RefSeq, a predicted model, not a curated record